This 579-nucleotide ribosomal RNA is filed under the name uncultured bacterium. RNAcentral describes it as "partial 16S ribosomal RNA". It matches the Rfam family "Bacterial small subunit ribosomal RNA", at positions 355 to 932 of the family's 1533-position model. The record is from RNAcentral.
UGGGGAAUUUUGGACAAUGGGCGAAAGCCUGAUCCAGCAAUGCCGCGUGUGUGAAGAAGGCCUUCGGGUUGUAAAGCACUUUUGUCCGGAAAGAAAUCCUUGGCUCUAAUACAGUCGGGGGAUGACGGUACCGGAAGAAUAAGCACCGGCUAACUACGUGCCAGCAGCCGCGGUAAUACGUAGGGUGCAAGCGUUAAUCGGAGUUACUGGGCGUAAAGCGUGCGCAGGCGGUUUGCUAAGACCGAUGUGAAAUCCCCGGGCUCAACCUGGGAACUGCAUUGGUGACUGGCAGGCUAGAGUAUGGCAGAGGGGGGUAGAAUUCCACGUGUAGCAGUGAAAUGCGUAGAGAUGUGGAGGAAUACCGAUGGCGAAGGCAGCCCCCUGGGCCAAUACUGACGCUCAUGCACGAAAGCGUGGGGAGCAAACAGGAUUAGAUACCCUGGUAGUCCACGCCCUAAACGAUGUCAACUAGUUGUUGGGGAUUCAUUUCCUUAGUAACGUAGCUAACGCGUGAAGUUGACCGCCUGGGGAGUACGGUCGCAAGAUUAAAACUCAAAUGAAUUGACGGGGUCAUAGCUG